This 373-nucleotide ribosomal RNA is filed under the name uncultured bacterium. RNAcentral describes it as "bacterial SSU rRNA". It matches the Rfam family "Bacterial small subunit ribosomal RNA", at positions 28 to 402 of the family's 1533-position model. The record is from RNAcentral.
GACGAACGCUGGCGGCGUGCUUAACACAUGCAAGUCGAGCGGUAAGGCCCUUUCGGGGGUACGACGAGCGGCGAACGGGUGAGUAACACGUGGGUGACCUGCCUUUAGCUCUGGGAUAAGCCUGGGAAACCGGGUCUAAUACCGGAUAUGACUCCGCGGCGCAUGUUGUGGGGUGAAAGCCUUGUGCGGCUGGAGAUGGGCCCGCGGCCUAUCAGCUUGUUGGUGGGGUNAUGGCCUACCAAGGCGACGACGGGUAGCCGGCCUGAGAGGGCGACCGGCCACACUGGGACUGAGACACGGCCCAGACUCCUACGGGAGGCAGCAGUGGGGAAUCUUGCGCAAUGGGCGAAAGCCUGACGCAGCGACGCCGCGU